UAGCGGAACUCCUACGGGAGGCAGCAGUGAGGAAUAUUGGACAAUGGGCGCAAGCCUGAUCCAGCCAUGCCGCGUGCAGGAUGACGGUCCUAUGGAUUGUAAACUGCUUUUGUACGAGAAGAAACACUGCUUCGUGAAGCAGCUUGACGGUAUCGUAAGAAUAAGGAUCGGCUAACUCCGUGCCAGCAGCCGCGGUAAUACGGAGGAUCCAAGCGUUAUCCGGAAUCAUUGGGUUUAAAGGGUCCGUAGGCGGUUUAGUAAGUCAGUGGUGAAAGCCCAUCGCUCAACGGUGGAACGGCCAUUGAUACUGCUGAACUUGAAUUAUUAGGAAGUAACUAGAAUAUGUAGUGUAGCGGUGAAAUGCUUAGAGAUUACAUGGAAUACCAAUUGCGAAGGCAGGUUACUACUAAUUGAUUGACGCUGAUGGACGAAAGCGUGGGGAGCGAACAGGAUUAGAAACCCUAGUAGUCCACUUAUG
Molecule: ribosomal RNA, 478 nt
Filed under: uncultured bacterium
Lineage: Bacteria
Description: bacterial SSU rRNA
Rfam family: Bacterial small subunit ribosomal RNA
Source: RNAcentral